GUUUUAAUAAUUUAAUCUAAAAUAUUGAUUUUGUAAAUCAAAAAUAAGGCUUCUUUUAAAAUA
Molecule: transfer RNA, 63 nt
Filed under: Scolytoplatypus wugongshanensis
Lineage: Eukaryota; Metazoa; Arthropoda; Insecta; Coleoptera; Curculionidae
Description: tRNA-Thr
Source: RNAcentral